This 581-nucleotide long non-coding RNA is filed under the name Vigna radiata. RNAcentral's name for it is "long non-coding RNA (VRAD_LNC002362)". Lineage: Eukaryota; Viridiplantae; Streptophyta; Magnoliopsida; Fabales; Fabaceae. The record is from RNAcentral.
AAAAUAGGAGAAAGAAUUUCUAGAAAAAUAGAACAAAGAAUUCGUGGGAAGAAAGCGUAAAGAUGAAAGCAUGAAGAUAAAAAAAAAAGAAUAAAUAGGUUAUGUGGGGGUGGGAGAAUAAAAUUAUAAAAUUGUAUUUCUAAAUAUAAAUUUUUGCUAAAGGAUAAAAUUGGAAUAGAAAAAAUAGAGAAAAGGGUAAAAAUGGAAUGGGGGGGUGGGGGUUGGAAUUGGGGAGGUGCAGGGAGUAACCCCCCUCAUUUAUUAGCGAGCCAGAAAAAUUUGAACCCGGCCCAACCCACCAUAAGUUGAUGGGUAAACGGGUUGGCUCACUGGCUCAUUUAAUUACAAUAUUUUAAAUAAAAAAAAUUACAAACUUUCUAUAAUUCAAAUCUAAAUAGAUUUCACUCCCAACAUGGACGUUUAAUUAAUUUUGAAAAUAGAAAACAUAAAUAAUUUUUUCAAACAAAAAAAUAUCUUUUUAUAAAAUUAAAAUUAAUUUUUAAUAAAAUAAAAUUAGGUAGGUGGGCUGGUGGGUCAACCCGGCCCACCACAGGUUCAACCCGCAUGAGCCGGGUUUAAAU